Molecule: ribosomal RNA, 568 nt
Filed under: uncultured bacterium
Lineage: Bacteria
Description: partial 16S ribosomal RNA
Rfam family: Bacterial small subunit ribosomal RNA
Source: RNAcentral
UGGGGAAUAUUGCACAAUGGGCGCAAGCCUGAUGCAGCGACGCCGCGUGAGGGAUGACGGCCUUCGGGUUGUAAACCUCUUUCAAUAGGGACGAAGCGCAAGUGACGGUACCUAUAGAAGAAGGACCGGCCAACUACGUGCCAGCAGCCGCGGUAAUACGUAGGGUCCGAGCGUCGUCCGGAAUUACUGGGCGUAAAGAGCUCGUAGGUGGUUUGUCGCGUUGUUCGUGAAAACUCACAGCUUAACUGUGGGCGUGCGGGCGAUACGGGCAGACUAGAGUACUGCAGGGGAGACUGGAAUUCCUGGUGUAGCGGUGGAAUGCGCAGAUAUCAGGAGGAACACCGGUGGCGAAGGCGGGUCUCUGGGCAGUAACUGACGCUGAGGAGCGAAAGCGUGGGGAGCGAACAGGAUUAGAUACCCUGGUAGUCCACGCCGUAAACGGUGGGUACUAGGUGUGGGUUUCCUUCCUUGGGAUCCGUGCCGUAGCUAACGCAUUAAGUACCCCGCCUGGGGAGUACGGCCGCAAGGCUAAAACUCAAAUGAAUUGACGGGGUCAUAUCUGUUUCCU